UACGUAGGGGGCAAGCGUUGUCCGGAUUUAUUGGGCGUAAAGAGCGUGUAGGCGGUCAGGUAAGUGAGAUGUGAAAUGCCCCGGCUCACCCGGGGACCGGCAUCUCAUACUGCUUGGCUUGAGUACGGGAGAGGAUGUGGGAAUUCCUGGUGUAGCGGUGAAAUGCGUAGAUAUCAGGAGGAACACCGGUGGCGAAGGCGCACAUCUGGCCCGAUACUGACGCUGAGGCGCGAAAGCUAGGGGAGCAAACGGG
Molecule: ribosomal RNA, 253 nt
Filed under: uncultured bacterium
Lineage: Bacteria
Description: partial 16S ribosomal RNA
Rfam family: Bacterial small subunit ribosomal RNA
Source: RNAcentral